Molecule: non-coding RNA, 45 nt
Filed under: Trichobilharzia regenti
Lineage: Eukaryota; Metazoa; Platyhelminthes; Trematoda; Strigeidida; Schistosomatidae
Source: RNAcentral
AUCCAGCUGACGAGUCCGAAAUAGGACGGAAUUUUCAUCCUGGAU